GUUCCUGUACCUCAAUUGGUUAGAGGGCGCGCCUUAUAAGCGCGUUAUCCGUGUUCGAUCCCCGGCAGGAAUA
This 73-nucleotide transfer RNA is filed under the name bacterium. Its description in RNAcentral is "tRNA-Ile". It matches the Rfam family "tRNA". From Rfam's summary of the family: Transfer RNA (tRNA) molecules are approximately 80 nucleotides in length. Their secondary structure includes four short double-helical elements and three loops (D, anti-codon, and T loops). The record is from RNAcentral.